UUAUUUAAUAAAGGAGAUAUACUACAGCAAUGUUUUCAUGCUAGAUGGCAGCACCAGCACAGGCAGAAAAAAAAAUUUGUUCGACGUUUGACAACGUUUUUGUCAAUAUUCUGGUGUCACGUGUGCAACAUGUCGGAUUUUGGUCGGAGUGUUUACUGU
Long non-coding RNA from Aricia agestis (brown argus), 159 nucleotides. RefSeq lists it as uncharacterized. The record is from RefSeq and is a predicted model, not a curated record. NCBI's taxonomy places the organism in Eukaryota, Metazoa, Arthropoda, Insecta, Lepidoptera, Lycaenidae. The transcript has 3 exons.